Molecule: RNA transcript, 1144 nt
Organism: Hevea brasiliensis (rubber tree)
Lineage: Eukaryota; Viridiplantae; Streptophyta; Magnoliopsida; Malpighiales; Euphorbiaceae
Exons: 2
Source: RefSeq, a predicted model, not a curated record
CGAUCUGAUCUGAUGGAACCGUGUCUGAAACACUUUGGUCUCUUUUCUCCCGUGUGUCUCUGUAAUCAUUCUUUUAUUCAUUUCCCUGAGAGAGAGAGAGUAGACGAUGAUGGAGGAGCAGUGUUUAGACUAUGUGCUUGUACCUAUGGGCAUGUUGGUGCUGGGAAUAUACCACUCUUGGCUUCUUUUCACCAUUCACAAAUAUCCUCGCCGCACUGUCAUUGGCAUCAAUGCUGAUUCCCGCCAUCAAUGGGUUCAUGCAAUUAUGACUGAUCCCCUGAAGAAUGGUGUGUUGGCAGUUCAAACAAUGCGUAACAACAUAAUGGCAUCGACGCUUUUAGCAACAACAGCAAUCACUCUCAGCUCAUUGAUCAGUGUGUUUGUGAGCAGCACAUCAAACUCUGGCAACACAGCCUCACAAAUAUUAUAUGGAAAUAAGAGCUCCAUUGUUUCUUCAAUAAAGUAUUUCUCUAUUCUGCUGUGCUUCCUCGUUGCCUUUCUUUGCAAUGUGCAGUCAAUUAGAUACUAUGCUCAUGUUAGCUUCCUGGCUACUGUACCUACAUCAGUAGGCAAAAAGGAUUCCAUUGAGUAUGUUGCCAGAAACUUGAAUCGAGAAGUUUCUUCUGGUCCCUCGGAUUGCGAGCUUUCUAUCUAUCGUUCCCUCUAUUUCUAUGGAUCUUCGGGCCAAUGCCCAUGUUUGUGUGCUGCUGCACGAUGUCAUUGGUUCUUUAUUUCUUGGAUACGACUACUAGUUUUACCCGGCAUCUGCACAAUCACUCUUUCAGAGAGGAAAUGAAAACUGAUGAUGUAGAAUCAGCUGUUUGAUCUUCCUAAGUGCCAUUAAGGAUAGAAUUUACUGAGAGUGGCUGUAAGUGCUCUGAACAAACAUCUUAAUGUCUGCUUAAACUCCGAUUAGCAACUUGUAUAUAUAUAUAUAUAUAUCAUUAGGUUUCUUAGUAUACAUACAUUGUCUUCAAAUAGCCUAUUAACAGUAUCAAGUUGUGUUCAAAUGUGCAUGUUCAAAUUAUUAAGUUGGAAAUUUGUUGAUAUUAUAUGAACGCAGACACUGGUGCUUGUAGUUGGUGGAUUGUAACAAAACAAUUUUGAAUUUUGGCCUGUAAGUUUUAUUAGCAAUUCUAGCUGA